RNAcentral lists this transfer RNA (68 nucleotides) under Lygodactylus grotei. RNAcentral describes it as "tRNA-Ala". Lineage: Eukaryota; Metazoa; Chordata; Lepidosauria; Squamata; Gekkonidae. The record is from RNAcentral.
GAAGCCUUAGCUUAAUUAAAGUGUCUGAGUUGCAGUCAGAUGAUGUAGUAUAAGGUUCUACAGGUUUU